Molecule: long non-coding RNA, 1160 nt
Organism: Oxyura jamaicensis (ruddy duck)
Lineage: Eukaryota; Metazoa; Chordata; Aves; Anseriformes; Anatidae
Exons: 2
Source: RefSeq, a predicted model, not a curated record
UUUUUUUUUAAAGACAUUACUGAAUUCAAUGGCGCUGCAUCCUAAUACUUUUUUCUUAACAAAUCUAUGGGACUGAAACAUAACUAUUGGCUUCAAGGUGGCAGAAACAGUCAGAUCAUCUUAUAUAAGGUUCUAUAGUGCUGGAAGGAAGGAGCACAGCAACCACUCUCCACCAAGAGAAGGAAAGACUAAACAGGCUUCCUCGUCCCAGCUUCCUGGUGGAUAUGUAGGCUCAAAUCAAAAAGGAGAGGCAGAUUUUGGAUUCAGUUACUCAGUAAUUGUCAUGACAUCCCACUAGAGGGGAGUGUCAUUCAGUCCUUAACUGUGUCAUUAAGCCUUGCGAGUAACUAGCCGAGUUAACACACUGCCUACCUUGGUCCCAACAUCAGCUGUCCAGUGUGUCCCUGGGACUGAAAACGUUUUAGACUUGUAACAAGCAUUCAUGUAACCUGAAGCUCUGUUAGCUCUUCUCUUGCCUUGCUGACCCAUCCCAUUGGCACUGGCAAAUCCAACAAGCCUGCUAAACCACCUGCUUUUAACCUAUCGCAGACAGUACAGGACCUCUCUGCAAUUUAGAUAAAACCAAAGCUGACAGCAAAUCUCAGCAACACUGCAAAUUUGAUAGCUCAGUUUCGCUACUGUGUAAUUGAUUCAAUUUGGGCCCAGUUUUGGAUAGACAGAAGCAUUUUAUUAUCACAAUUGCACCACUGUCAUCCUUCUAAAAAGUAAAAACAUCACACAAACUAGGAAUAGACAAAGCCUGGAAAAUAGCUUCUACCAUAUUUGCCAAGUCUUUUCCUAGUAUGAAGAACAGAAAAGGUCAGGCAGUAUAAGUUUCUGCAUUUUUAUCCUAACUUAAACUUUCUCAUAGGAAAAACACAAUUAUUUCAGAACACACUGCUCAAUGUCUCCCUUUAACUGAUAGGAAUACUGAAGUUCAAAUUCAUUGCACAAUUUACUAAAAUUCCUCAGAUUUACUUCCCCACACCAAAGGGAGGUGAUGCCCGUCCAGGAAGGUGGUUACAGGUAAGGAUGAUGGUGCAAGGUGCAAGCCUUUGUCUGUGAUGUGACAAUGGAACAAAACAGUUGGCUGUUAAAAGAGCCUUAAAUAAAAUAUCUGGGAACUCUUAAAAUAAAUCCGUUACAAUCUCUUUCAGAUU